This 549-nucleotide ribosomal RNA is filed under the name uncultured bacterium. RNAcentral's name for it is "bacterial SSU rRNA". It matches the Rfam family "Bacterial small subunit ribosomal RNA", at positions 379 to 920 of the family's 1533-position model. The record is from RNAcentral.
GAGUCUGACGGAGCACGCCGCGUGAGCGAAGAAGGCCUUCGGGUCUGUAAAGCUCUGUUGUAAGGGAAGAACAAGCAUCGGUUAACUGCCGGUGCCCUGACGGUACCUUACCAGAAAGCCACGGCUAACUACGUGCCAGCAGCCGCGGUAAUACGUAAGUGGCAAGCGUUGUCCGGAAUUAUUGGGCGUAAAGCGCGCGCAGGCGGUCCUUUAAGUCUGAUGUGAAAGCCCACGGCUCAACCGUGGAGGGUCAUUGGAAACUGGGGGACUUGAGUGCAGAAGAGGAAAGCGGAAUUCCACGUGUAGCGGUGAAAUGCGUAGAGAUGUGGAGGAACACCAGUGGCGAAGGCGGCUUUCUGGUCUGUAACUGACGCUGAGGCGCGAAAGCGUGGGGAGCAAACAGGAUUAGAUACCCUGGUAGUCCACGCCGUAAACGAUGAGUGCUAAGUGUUAGGGGGUUUCCGCCCCUUAGUGCUGCAGCUAACGCAUUAAGCACUCCGCCUGGGGAGUACGGCCGCAAGGCUGAAACUCAAAGGAAUUGACGGANCC